AAUAUUUCUAUAUCUUUGCUAAAUUUGGUUUCAGUAAAUGAAAACUUGGUCAUUCUAUCCUAUUGAGUUGUCUUGUCUUGAAGAAUGAGCAGGUGACCCUCUGAGGCAUGCAAAAUGGAAACAUAUUCUACAAUGGGAAAAAGAAAACAAUAUGGACACAGUGAGCAAACUUCUCAGAUCUGCAGAGCUGAAGAACUAGAUCGGGGGUCUAAACUCCAGGGCCACAGACUGGUACCAGUCUGUUUUAGGAACCAGGCUGCACAGCAGGAGCGGACUCUGUCUUGAAUCACUACUUGCUCUCGAGAAAGUUCAGGGCUUCUGUGAUAGAGAAUAAGGAGAGAAAUGGGAGCGAAAGAAGAGAAAAAACAGAAACACCUCUCUGAAUGUGAAACACAGAUGUUUUAUUUUCGUGAAGUUGAAGAGAAAAGUGAAGCUGAGGAGAAAAUUGCACAAAACACAGCUGCAUUGUGCAAGAAAAAGUG
Molecule: long non-coding RNA, 482 nt
Filed under: Rhinopithecus bieti (black snub-nosed monkey)
Lineage: Eukaryota; Metazoa; Chordata; Mammalia; Primates; Cercopithecidae
Description: lncRNA (ENSRBIG00000045842.1)
Source: RNAcentral